CCUGGUAGGGUGGGGAACUUACAGUUCCUUGUGAGGGACAAAAGUCCGGAAGGCGAGGUUUCUAGACCAAAGGAAGUGGAGGGGCCAGAAUGGGGCAGAAAGUGAAGCUGGAAAGAGAUACAGGAAGGAUGCUAGAAGAGACUUCCUUCUUUUCUUCCGCAAAUGUGUCGGGAACAUGUGGCGAAACUACACAGGAAAUUACUCCGGAACUGAAUCAUAGCAGGAGUUUCACCAGUGGAUUUUGUACCUUUGGGCUGUGGCAGCAGACCAAUUACACCACAGCACUUGUUCUGGAAGUGAGAAGUCCAAGAUCAAGGUUCAGCAGAGUUGGUUUCUUCUAACGGGCCUGAGGAAAGCAUCUG
Molecule: long non-coding RNA, 362 nt
Organism: Balaenoptera musculus (blue whale)
Lineage: Eukaryota; Metazoa; Chordata; Mammalia; Artiodactyla; Balaenopteridae
Exons: 3
Source: RefSeq, a predicted model, not a curated record